Molecule: small nuclear RNA, 107 nt
Organism: Hyla sarda
Lineage: Eukaryota; Metazoa; Chordata; Amphibia; Anura; Hylidae
Source: RefSeq, a predicted model, not a curated record
AUAAAAUAGAAAUUUUAAUUGACAUUAAAACUGGAAUGCUACUGAGCAGAUUGGCAUGACGCCUGCGCUAGGCUGACAUGCAAAUUUGUGAAGCGUUCCACAUGAAU